This 305-nucleotide ribosomal RNA is filed under the name uncultured bacterium. RNAcentral's name for it is "bacterial SSU rRNA". It matches the Rfam family "Bacterial small subunit ribosomal RNA", at positions 337 to 658 of the family's 1533-position model. The record is from RNAcentral.
CCCUACGGGGGGCAGCAGUCGGGAAUAUUGCGCAAUGGAGGAAACUCUGACGCAGUGACGCCGCGUGCAGGAAGAAGGUUUUCGGAUUGUAAACUGCUUUAGACAGGGAAGAAAAAAGACAGUACCUGUAGAAUAAGCUCCGGCUAACUACGUGCCAGCAGCCGCGGUAAUACGGAGGGUGCGAGCGUUAAUCGGAAUUACUGGGCGUAAAGCGCUCGUAGGCGGUAUGUCAAGUCAAGGGUGAAAUCCCCGCGCUCAACGUGGGAACUGCCUUUGAAACUGGCAAACUGGAGUGUGUGAGAGGA